Molecule: ribosomal RNA, 405 nt
Filed under: uncultured Thaumatomonadida
Lineage: Eukaryota; Cercozoa; Imbricatea; Thaumatomonadida
Description: partial small subunit ribosomal RNA
Rfam family: Eukaryotic small subunit ribosomal RNA
Source: RNAcentral
GCUUGUCUCAAAGAUUAAGCCAUGCAUGUCUAAGUAUAAACACCUUUAUACUGUGAAACUGCGUACAGCUCAUUAAAUCAGUAAUAAUUUAUUUGAUGGUGACUUACUACAUGGAUAACCGUAGUAACCUAGAGCUAAUACAUGCACAAAAUCCCGACUUCACGGAAGGGAUGUAUUUAUUAGAUAAAAAGCCAAUGCGGGUUCUGCCCGGUUUUGUGGUGAAUCAUAGUAACUGUUCGAAUCGCAUGGCUUCACGCCGGCGAUAGUUCAUUCAAAUUUCUGCCCUAUCAGCUUUCGACGGUAGUGUAGUGGACUACCGUGGCGUUAACGGGUAACGGAGAAUUAGGGUUCGGUUCCGGAGAGGGAGCCUGAGAAACGGCUACCACAUCCAAGGAAGGCAGCAGG